GGGGUAACAAGAAGGCACAUGAGGAAACUCUUCUUAAGUUAGGAGGGCUUUUCAAGAAGAAUUUUGAGGGGUUCCUGAGCUAUAAGAUUGGGACAGACAGCAAGCUAACUGAGGAGAUCCUAGCAGCUGGCCCAAAUUUCUGAAUCUAGAGAGAGUUUGAAAGUAUGUGUGUUGAGAUUGGUCUUUUGUUUUAAAUAUAUCAGAAUGUGGUUGUGCUGGGUUCUUUCUCUUUGAGUGAAUAAGAAUGUUGAGUUUGUAUGGCUAAAACACAUUUCCAAGUUGACUUAUUUAAAGGGAUGUAAAUUUGUUACCCUUGAGUUAUUUGAAACUCGAUUCUUUAAAACCUCGUUCAAGUAAGACUUAUAAGCUUUGUCAAUUUAUCCAUUGUACAAUUAAUAUUUAAGAAAUUGGCAACACCCAAAAAUUCAAACUAGGCACAAACAACAAGAAAGAUUUAGAACAAACACUGACCAUAUGAUCCAAGCUGUCAUCGACAUGAGAAAGUGAAUCAGCUGAACUAAGGUCCUCUGUGUCGCAUAAUUUGGCGUGUGUUAUUAUAUCUGCUAGAGUAUAAAAUAUUUGAGGUGUUUAUCAUUACAUGGAUUAUACCUUCAAAAUUUUAAACUUAUUCAGAUACAU
This 639-nucleotide long non-coding RNA is filed under the name Salvia miltiorrhiza (redroot sage). RNAcentral describes it as "long non-coding RNA (SMIL_LNC008042)". Lineage: Eukaryota; Viridiplantae; Streptophyta; Magnoliopsida; Lamiales; Lamiaceae. The record is from RNAcentral.